GAUGAACGCUGGCGGCGUGCUUAACACAUGCAAGUCGAACGGGAAACCUUUUAUUGAAGCUUCGGCAGAUUUAGCUGGUUUCUAGUGGCGGACGGGUGAGUAACGCGUGGGUAACCUGCCUUAUACAGGGGGGUAACAGUCAGAAAUGGCUGCUAAUACCGCAUAAGCGCACAGAGCUGCAUGGCUCAGUGUGAAAAACUCCGGUGGUAUAAGAUGGACCCGCGUUGGAUUAGCUGGUUGGUGGGGUAACGGCCCACCAAGGCGACGAUCCAUAGCCGGCCUGAGAGGGUGAACGGCCACAUUGGGACUGAGACACGGCCCAGACUCCUACGGGAGGCAGCAGUGGGGAAUAUUGCACAAUGGGGGAAACCCUGAUGCAGCGACGCCGCGUGAAGGAAGAAGUAUCUCGGUAUGUAAACUUCUAUCAGCAGGGAAGAUAAUGACGGUACCUGACUAAGAAGCCCCGGCUAACUACGU
Molecule: ribosomal RNA, 477 nt
Filed under: uncultured bacterium
Lineage: Bacteria
Description: partial 16S ribosomal RNA
Rfam family: Bacterial small subunit ribosomal RNA
Source: RNAcentral